RNAcentral lists this long non-coding RNA (216 nucleotides) under Gossypium barbadense (sea-island cotton). Its description in RNAcentral is "long non-coding RNA (GBAR_LNC009091)". The record is from RNAcentral. Lineage: Eukaryota; Viridiplantae; Streptophyta; Magnoliopsida; Malvales; Malvaceae.
ACGAAUUAUAAUGGUUUUAUAUUUUAGUUUAAAGGUUAAAUUUGUAAAAUGAUAAAUAUGUUAUUAUAAUAAAACAUAUAAUAAAAUCUAUCAUUCAUUCAUCUUUUUCAUAUAACUAAAAUAUCAAAAGAAAGAAAACUUUAGCGAAUUCGGCCAUUGUCAAAGCUUGAUUAAGGUAUGUAACUAGCUCAGUUUUUGAUAAUUUUUACGUUUUUG